RNAcentral lists this ribosomal RNA (292 nucleotides) under uncultured Flavobacterium sp. Its description in RNAcentral is "partial 16S ribosomal RNA". It matches the Rfam family "Bacterial small subunit ribosomal RNA", at positions 505 to 796 of the family's 1533-position model. The record is from RNAcentral. Lineage: Bacteria; Pseudomonadati; Bacteroidota; Flavobacteriia; Flavobacteriales; Flavobacteriaceae.
GUGUCAGCCGCCGUGGUAAUACGGAGGAUCCAAGCGUUAUCCGGAAUCAUUGGGUUUAAAGGGUCCGUAGGCGGUUUAGUAAGUCAGUGGUGAAAGCCCAUCGCUCAACGAUGGAACGGCCAUUGAUACUGCUAGACUUGAAUUACUAGGAAGUAACUAGAAUAUGUAGUGUAGCGGUGAAAUGCUUAGAUAUUACAUGGAAUACCAAUUGCGAAGGCAGGUUACUACUAGUGGAUUGACGCUGAUGGACGAAAGCGUGGGGAGCGAACAGGAUUAGAAACCCGCGUAGUCC